This 32-nucleotide non-coding RNA is filed under the name Geobacter sulfurreducens KN400. The record is from RNAcentral. Lineage: Bacteria; Pseudomonadati; Thermodesulfobacteriota; Desulfuromonadia; Geobacterales; Geobacteraceae.
UUCAAGGCAGUCAUGCGGUGGUCAUCGGCCAC